GAUGAACGCUGGCGGCGUGCCUAAUACAUGCAAGUCGAGCGAACAGAUGAGGAGCUUGCUCCUCUGACGUUAGCGGCGGACGGGUGAGUAACACGUGGAUAACCUACCUAUAAGACUGGGAUAACUUCGGGAAACCGGAGCUAAUACCGGAUAAUAUAUUGAACCGCAUGGUUCAAUAGUGAAAGACGGUUUUGCUGCCACUUAUAGAUGGAUCCGCGCCGCAUUAGCUAGUUGGUAAGGUAACGGCUUACCAAGGCAACGAUGCGUAGCCGACCUGAGAGGGUGAUCGGCCACACUGGAACUGAGACACGGUCCAGACUCCUACGGGAGGCAGCAGUAGGGAAUCUUCCGCAAGGGGCGAAAGCCUGACGGAGCAACGCCGCGUGAGUGAUGAAGGUCUUCGGAUCGUAAAACUCUGUUAUUAGGGAAGAACAAAUGUGUAAGUAACUAUGCACGUCUUGACGGUACCUAAUCAGAAAGCCACGGCUAACUACGUG
Molecule: ribosomal RNA, 497 nt
Filed under: uncultured bacterium
Lineage: Bacteria
Description: partial 16S ribosomal RNA
Rfam family: Bacterial small subunit ribosomal RNA
Source: RNAcentral